RNAcentral lists this ribosomal RNA (486 nucleotides) under uncultured bacterium. RNAcentral describes it as "partial 16S ribosomal RNA". It matches the Rfam family "Bacterial small subunit ribosomal RNA", at positions 30 to 507 of the family's 1533-position model. The record is from RNAcentral.
AUUGAACGCUGGCGGCAUGCCUUACACAUGCGAGUCGAACGGCAGCACGGGUGCUUGCACCUGGUGGCGAGUGGCGAACGGGUGAGUAAUACAUCGGAACAUGUCCUGUAGUGGGGGAUAGCCCGGCGAAAGCCGGAUUAAUACCGCAUACGAUCUACGGAUGAAAGCGGGGGACCUUCGGGCCUCGCGCUAUAGGGUUGGCCGAUGGCUGAUUAGCUAGUUGGUGGGGUAAAGGCCUACCAAGGCGACGAUCAGUAGCUGGUCUGAGAGGACGACCAGCCACACUGGGACUGAGACACGGCCCAGACUCCUACGGGAGGCAGCAGUGGGGAAUUUUGGACAAUGGGCGAAAGCCUGAUCCAGCAAUGCCGCGUGUGUGAAGAAGGCCUUCGGGUUGUAAAGCACUUUUGUCCGGAAAGAAAUCCUUGGCCCUAAUACGGUCGGGGGAUGACGGUACCGGAAGAAUAAGCACCGGCUAACUACGCG